Molecule: ribosomal RNA, 458 nt
Filed under: uncultured bacterium
Lineage: Bacteria
Description: partial 16S ribosomal RNA
Rfam family: Bacterial small subunit ribosomal RNA
Source: RNAcentral
CCUACGGGUGGCAGCAGUGGGGAAUAUUGCACAAUGGGCGAAACCCUGAUGCAGCGACGCCGCGUGAGUGAAGAAGUAAUUCGUUACGUAAAGCUCUAUCAUCAGGGAAGAAACCCUGACCUUACGGUCAGCCCACUGUACCUGAGUCAGACGCCCCGGCUAACUACGUUCCAGCCGCCGCGGUGAUACGUAGGGGGCCAGCGUUAUCCGGUUUUACUGGGUGUAAAGGGAGCCUAGACGGUGGGACAAGUGCGGAGGGAAAUUCCGCAGCUUAACUGCGGAACUGCUUUGGAAACUGGCGAACUGGAGUGCGGGAGGGGUGAGAGGAAUUCCUAGGGUAGCGGUGAAAUGCGUAGAUAUUAGGAGGAACACCGGUGGCGAAGGCGGCUUACUGGACCGUAACUGACGUUGAGGCUCGAAAGCGUGGGGAGCAAACAGGAUUAGAUACCCCGGUAGUC